AUGGCAAUGGGGGCAAUGGGACACACAGUGGGCCAUGGCAAUGAGGGCAAUAAGACACAACCUUUAGGUGUAAGGGCCGGGCUGGAUGAGGCCCUGGGCGGCCUGAGCUGCUGUGGGGCAACCAGCCCAUGGUGGGGGUCUGUGGGAGCUUUAAGGUGCCUUCCAACCCAACCACCCCACAGUUCCGUGGUUCUACGACCUCUUUAUUUCCUCAUUGUGGUUAUGGGGAGCAGCAGGACUCACGUUGGACACGACGAUCCAUCCACCCCAUCCCGCAUCUCCUCACAGCGCUCUCCUCACAACGCCUUCUCUCCCGCCCCUCCGCCCCGCCUCUCCCCGAUUGGCCACCUCUUCCCUUCUCCCCGCCCCCUCCAUCCCAUCCCGCUUUCCCAUUGGCCACUUCCCCCGCCCGUCCCCCCUCCCUCUCUCCGGUCGCGUGGAGCUGUCACCCCGCCGAGGUGUGAGGGGAGGGGGGCGUUGGAUGGGGGCGGCUCCCCCGGGCGGCGUUGCCCCCCCGGCCCCAUAGACACACACAGCGCCGAGCGGGGCGGCACCGCACCGGGCAGCGCCGGGCGGAGGGAGGGAGGGAGCGGGCACACAUCCGGGACUGCGCUGUGCUCCGCUACCACACGGCGCCCGCGGAACCACGGGGGGAUCCGGAACGCAGCGGGGGCCGACCCGACCCGACCCGACCCGACCCGACCCGACCCGACCCGACCCGACCCGACCCGACCAGUUGUCGGAGAGGCGGAACUCGUCCCGAAGUUCGGAGACACGGGAGAGAAACAUCAGAAGGUCUGCGGGGAAAUGCAGCUGCCCUCUCACACCUCUUCAGUUGCAGCCUUGUAGAACUGGCACAGAAUGCAUGCAAAGUGCAAAGCAGCAGAUGGCUGACGUUCUUGAAUGUAAGGGACACUGAAAUCUGUUGUUACGACCUAUGCAAACUCCAUAUAAAGGGGUGAUGGGUUUGCAUGGGUGGGAUGGAAGGAAAUCAAUGGUGAUGGGUUUUGGAAGUGGAAAAGGGAUGGGGAGGGGAGCAUGGGGCUCACCCCCAUCUGCCAGGAGGCUUGAGCUGAGUCUUGUGCCCAUGUUAAUUUUUGUUAAUGAGAAGGAGUGAGGGGAUCCAGCUGCUCGGUGGGUUGGUUGGUGUUUGGAUGCAGAGCAGGUUUGUGUUGUGGCAGAGCUGGAACCUAAAAGUUCUCCCAUGUGGUGCAGUGUGUGAAGGACAUCACUCUGCUCACUGGAUUCUCCUUCCCAGCUGGCAGAGCUGGCAAUGCUUUUCUCCCAUGCUUUAGAAGAGUGGAACUUCACAGUUUGGAGCUGCCCAGCAAAAAAUAUAGGGGAAUUUGCUACCUGCCCCAUGCGGAUGGUUGUUUUUACUCCUUAUUUUGCAUGGUGUGAGCCCUCCCCCCUGGCAGCACCCCUCACUCAUGAAGGUGCAGCCGGGCUCAGCACUGCUGGGAGUUUCCCCUAUGCAGUAGCAGGCGGUGCUUUUCAUCACUUCUUCCAAAUGCAACUCCCAGCACGGCCUGAGUCACAUUCAGAAGUGCAAAACAGGGAUCCUCCUGUUUUCCUCCAACAAACAGUGCUGACAGAAUGGGUGAUGCAGUGAUCCGCACCCAGCUCUGCACACACUUGCAGGAGAAACCAGGUGCACAGAGCAGGGCAAAGCAGAGCAGUGUCAGCAGCUCGCUGAGCCAAGGGCCAGCUGGCAGCAAUGGGAGUGAGCAUGGCUUUUACAAACAGCUUGUGCUUUGGUCGAUCUUGGAUGAUCUCUGAUGCUGCCACCUCCAAAGAGAGCCCCAAAGUGGUCCUGAACCCACCCCAGACUCAGAUCUGCAGACAGCUGUCCAGUUCAGCUGGUGGGAGCUGAGCUUGGGCAGGGUGCCUCUGUCAUUGCUGGGAGAAUCCCCUCUUCCUACAGCCCUGUGAGUUCCUGCUGCUCACCCACUCCAGAGACAGCCCUGUUCUUGUGUUUUAUUUUAUGUUGAUAUUAAAGAUGUCCUUUAAAGCAGUGUCAGCUCACAGGCCAUCACUUUUAUGAUUAACAGAAUGCCACUUGCCUGGGGUGUAUUUGAGAGCAUCAAGGAAGAGGCUAUUUUAAAGUAAUAAGUGAGGGCUAAAUUAAUUUUCAUUAUUUGCAUAACAGCAUCCUCUAAUUAAUAGGUUAUGGGCAGCCUCAAAGGUAGCACUGGAGUGGGGUCUCCAGUGAGGCUGUGGGAGAAGGGUUUUAUUGCUGGGAAUGGCAGCUUUGCUCCAUCUCUUGGUAGAUUUAGCAAGCAGAGGGUGUCUGAAGCAGUGCUGUGGGGUAGAAUGCACCUUUCCUGAGUCAAGGAUCUUCCUUUGGUUCCCUCUCUGUUUCUCCCUCCUAUUCUAUGCUGUGGUGCAGCAUGUGUGAUAACAACGGCAUUGGGUUGCAUCAGGUAGCGUGGGAUACAGGCUCAAAGCAGGGGAGAAUGGGUACUAUGUUUUGAGAUGGGAAGAAGAUAGAAGACCUUGCUGUGCCUUCUGAGCUUCCCACAGAAAUAAUCUGCUGCCUGCAGAGCUUCUGCAACGUGGCCUCGGGUCUGCGUGGGAUUUCACACCCACUCAUCCCAGCAGGGACCUCGGGGUUUUGCUUUUCUUUUGGUUAACAUCCACUCCCUCUUUGCAAAGGAAAACUUCUGAUAUCUGUCUGUGUUUUCAUUCAUUUUUUCCACCAAACCCUUGUGAGAUACACCAUGCUCUGAGCUGCUGUAGGUAUUACUGGGAAGUGAAGGCAGUUAUGGCUGUGCACUCAGUGUUGCUUGUGACCCAAUGUCAGCACUCAUGGGUGCCUGGGAACCAACAUCUUGCUAACUUCCUUCAAGUGAGACAAACCUGAGUGAUGCUGAUGGGCUCUGACGAAGGAGACGCAUUGCUGACAGACAGCAGCUGUUUCAGAAAUAAACGACCAAAAUAAAACCA
This is a long non-coding RNA of Coturnix japonica (Japanese quail), 2946 nucleotides long. The record is from Ensembl. Lineage: Eukaryota; Metazoa; Chordata; Aves; Galliformes; Phasianidae.